RNAcentral lists this long non-coding RNA (218 nucleotides) under Elaeis guineensis (African oil palm). Its description in RNAcentral is "long non-coding RNA (EGUI_LNC027935)". Lineage: Eukaryota; Viridiplantae; Streptophyta; Magnoliopsida; Arecales; Arecaceae. The record is from RNAcentral.
UGGGACAGUAAGAAGUUCAUGGGACCCAAUUUUGAUAACUGAUAUCAAAAACUUAAAAUCAUCCUGGAGCACGAGCAGAUUUUGUAUGUUAUUACAGAUCCGGCACUUGAGGAGCCUGCUCCUAAUGCCCGUGGCAUGGUUUGAGACACUUAUUUGAAGUGACUCAACUACUGCACCACAGUGCGUUGUAUAAUGCAGACUGUAAUGAAUGACGACUU